Molecule: ribosomal RNA, 441 nt
Filed under: uncultured bacterium
Lineage: Bacteria
Description: bacterial SSU rRNA
Rfam family: Bacterial small subunit ribosomal RNA
Source: RNAcentral
UGGGGAAUAUUGGACAAUGGGCGCAAGCCUGAUCCAGCCAUGCCGCGUGUGUGAAGAAGGCUUUCGGGUUGUAAAGCACUUUCAUCAGUGAGGAAAGGUUAGUAGUUAAUACCUGCUAGCUGUGACGUUAACUGAAGAAGAAGCACCGGCUAACUCCGUGCCAGCAGCCGCGGUAAUACGGAGGGUGCAAGCGUUAAUCGGAAUUACUGGGCGUAAAGCGCGCGUAGGUUGAUUGCUAAGCGAGAUGUGAAAGCCCCGGGCUUAACCUGGGAACUGCAUUUCGAACUGGUCGUCUAGAGUACAGUAGAGGGUGGCGGAAUUUCCUGUGUAGCGGUGAAAUGCGUAGAGAUGGGAAGGAACAUCAGUGGCGAAGGCGGCCACCUGGACUGAUACUGACACUGAGGUGCGAAAGCGUGGGGGAGCAAACAGGAUUAGAUACCC